Molecule: ribosomal RNA, 93 nt
Filed under: Vibrio sp. S11_S32
Lineage: Bacteria; Pseudomonadati; Pseudomonadota; Gammaproteobacteria; Vibrionales; Vibrionaceae
Also listed under: 1 other name
Description: partial 16S ribosomal RNA
Rfam family: Bacterial small subunit ribosomal RNA
Source: RNAcentral
GAGGACGCUUACCACUUUGUGGUUCAUGACUGGGGUGAAGUCGUAACAAGGUAGCCCUAGGGGAACCUGGGGCUGGAUCACCUCCUUACGAAA